UUUAUUGUGCAGCACUCACAGCCCCAGAAGUGAAACGCUGCUUUUUUUUUUGGAGGGGGGGAGAAGAGGGAGUGGACUGUUUUCCUUUCCCUCUGCUCCUCUCUCUCGGUGCCCCACGGAACCGCUCCCCGUCUUGCCAGAGCUGGGUCCAAACCAGAGCAACCAGAUCCCACUGCGUGUUCUGGAGGAAGUUCAGGUUGGAUCCCUCCCUGCAUCCUCACAGCUCGCUGAGGCAGUGUCUGUGGACUAUAAUCCUCUCGGAGGUUUUGCUCUGGGAUCAUUUCUGCUCCUGGAUUAGCAUUAAUGAAGAGCAUGUGUGCUCCAGAGGUCCUGAUCCAGGCCCCGAGAGCUGCAGCGCUGCUAAAGGCACCGUUUUCUGCCUGGGUGUUAUCCGUGGCUAUUCCAAGGAACACUUAGGCUGAAAGAGAAGAUUCCUUUGGAGUGAACGAGACAGGAACUUUUGCAAAGUCUAAUUUCAGUCUUUCUCCCCUCACCCACUAAAGACGAGGGUUUCAGAACAUCCCAGCACCUUGCUAGCACCAGUGUGAGUGCCUUUGUGAGUCAAGGGGUUUGCUUUAGUGCCCACCAAAGAGCUGAGCUCUGCUGGAGCUUGGGAACGAAGCCCUUGCAGAUCUCAGAGGUGCAGGGUGUCAGCCAUGGGAAGCUGGACCAGCAUUUGAUUUGGUGCCAUUGAAGCAGGUCUGAUGUCUUCAGGUCUCCCUCUGCGCUGGGCUCAGUUACUGUUAACCUCAAAAAGAAGUUUGGGGAAGGGAUGUUGGGGUUGCGUUGGCAAGGAAAUGUUCUCCGCAGGUUGCCCGUCCCAGCAGAGCGGCUGCCUGGGCAAGCUCCUCCCUUCCUGGGAGCUUUGGAGCCUCCUUUCUCAACAGCCUCAAGACUUGGGACGUGAUCUGUGCGAGUUGUGCUGAGCUGGUAGGGCAGAGCUGGGAAGCUGCCAACUGGGACACUGUGUUCCUCUCCAAACUGGUGAAAUUUCUGGCCCUGAGCUGGUGCAGCAAAUAAACUGUGAUCCCACGGUACAGAGGGACAGUUAGAAGGAACCUGUCGUGGGCUAUUCCUCCCUGAGACCUUGUGUCCUCUCCACCUGCCAGUACUUACUGCUCCUUCUUUGUCUUUGUGCAUAAAUGUGAACUUCCAGUGGAUGUUUGUUCUGUAAAAGGCCACGCAGAACGGCAAGAGUCUCUGUGGACGGCUCCAAAAGCCAACGUCACAGUGCAGAGACCACCCCUUUAGCCAGUUCUGGCCUGAAUUAGCAACUUGAGGUGUAAAAUGCAGCAAGGGCUGGAGCAAAGAUUCUUCAGUCACCGUUUUUUCCUGGUCAGGGCCAGUUCAGCUCCUCUCUUUGGGCGGUUCUAAUUUUUGCUAAUGCUCAGAAGGGCCAGGAACAGCAACAAUUUCUAUUUUCUCUUCCAAGCCAGGUCCCAACGCUGCGGACUGGAAGCCUGCAGCUGGGAGCAGAGUGUUUGCCACAGCCCCCCGGUCCCGAGGCACCCCUGGACAUGGCAGGGCAGCCCCUGCCCAGCAGCUGAGACGCACACGGCGGCUGUGACACGAGGGAAGACACGCGUCCCGCAGUUCCCAACACAACCGCGAGCGAUAUCCUGAACAGCGCGUUCUAACUUCAGGUGAAGAAAAGCAACAGCAGCAGAUGGUCUUGUAAACAGCAGAGAUCUGGCUCUCCCACAGAGGUCCUUGCGGAGUGGAAAGGAGCAGAAUGGGAGACUCCUGCAGAUCCCAUGGAGCACAAGAGUCAUGGAAAAAAAGAGACCUAUGAAAGACGGUUCCAGGUUGGGACUUUAGAGAGGUUUGUGCUUGAUCUAGGGUUGACAAGUUUCAGUUUCUAUUUUGCUUGGGGACUGGGAGGGGAGAGCUUACUGAGUCCUGGAGUCUUAAUGGAAAAUGAUCAGAAUCUGGAACAGAUUCCCAAAAAGACAUUUAGGGACAACUAAAUGCACAAAGCAGCUUGAGUAUACCUACCACCAGAGCUUUACCCAGUCCUGGGUAAAGCUUCUGAAAUGGGCAGUGUUUUAAUAAAGUACAUAUGUCUGGGGACUCAAAAUAUGAGAAAGAAAUUAGGGGGAAAAAAAGAUAACACCUUCUCUAUUUCUUAGAAAGGGGGAAAACUGCCAAAAAGUUACUAUUUUUUUUUCCUGGAGAAUGGCUCGGCUGGACAGGAUCCACUGCAGGGUCAGACCAUCCCCACAACCUGACACUUGCAGAACAAGUGGGCUCACUUCAUCUUGGCACAGGUAGUUCUGGCAUUUCCAGGGAGAUCUGUAAUUCCAAGUAAUAACCUCGGAGGUUAAUUGAAGUCUGAAAAUAAGUUUCUUUGGUAGGUGGGCUGGAGGGGAUUUUAAUUAUGUGUUUAGUGUUGCUUUAAGCGUUAAUUUUGCCUGGGAAAGGAAGCUGUAGUAUCAGGAACGACACCUUCAGACAGCUGAGAUCUUCAGACAGAAAAUCAGGGGGGCUGGCGAAUGCCCGUAGCCUGUUAUGGCAGAUGGAAAUGAGCUCUGAAUUAAAAGAAACUCUUUUGUUUGUUUUGGGCCAAAAACAACUGGACUCUGCGUAAGGCCCGACUCCCUGAGAAUGGGUGCUCAGCAGCUCUCUGACAGUUGGGCUGUCAGAAGGAAGGUACCUGAACUGCAGACUAUACACAUCUGAAUUUGUUUUUUGCCUUAUUUCUCUUUGUGUGUCAUAGUCUCCUUGCAGUUUUCCAGAGCAGAGUUACUCUUCCACUUGUUCCCCUUUGCCUCCUGCUGAGCCAUUUCCUUUAUUUUCCACCGUUCUGUGUAGUGUAGUCACUCCCAGGAUCUGGGAAAUCUUCCUUGGAAGUCUCCUUCUCUCCUGAGCUUACUGCCAACUCUCCCUCUGAAGCUUUUCAUUCUUUUCAUUCUUCAUCACAAAGAAGAAUAAAAGGCCCGGAACGUGCGCUGUGACACCCGUUCAGGUGCCAUUACCCUGUGAUUCUUUAAAAACUCAACAUGCCUUUAUGGUGGCUGAGACGUGCUGGAGUGGGAAGCCUCAAUUGGUGUUAGCACGUGGAGGAGAAGCAAGUGCUGUGGCCUGGACUGGGGCAGCGGGUUCUGGCUUUGGUUUGGACACUGACUCACUCGGGGAAAAUCAUUUCCCUUCUCUGUGCACCUGUUUCCACUCCCCACCUCUAAUUGCCUCUCUGGUUAGACUGGGAGCUCCUUGGGACGCGGCCCGACUCUGGCUGGGUGUAGGUCUGGCACCUCGGCACAGGGGAGCCCUGUCUGGGCUGGGCCUCAGGUGUCCUGGUGGUACAGCUGAGGGCAGAAGGUGUGCCCAGGCAGCAGGGCACGCUUCCCAGACACGCUCUGAAACCCCAUGUGCUGGAAGCUGUCUCCCUUCCCAGUCCUCCGCUCCUCUCAGCCAGCCAGCAAAGCAUUAACCAGUUCCAGUUACAAUGGUGAGGUGAACUGGCACGUUCCCAGUUCCACUGGGAAGCGGUGGGGAAUCACUAAACUUGUUUUGCAAACUCAAGCGGUGCCUGAUGGGAAGCUGCAUUCCCGCCGAGCUGCCCCACCUCCCCACAGGUAAAAAGCUCCUUCCCUCAGCCCCACAGCUCAGAGCCAUCCCAUCCCACCCCCAGCCCGCCCCACACAGCCUUCAGCCUGCUCCAAUUUGCCAUUUUCUCCUUCCCUCCCUUGUCUGAAGAGGUGCCUACGGGUGUCUCUGGCGUUUCUUCUUCUCCGCCGGCUCCUGCGUAGCCCCUUCCUCCCCUUGUUUGCUCAUUCCCUGCACUCCAUCCCAUCUUUUGCCUUCCUCCCUGGUUUGAUACAGCAUCUCGCCAGUCCUGCUUCACACUAAGAGAAGGGGUAUUAGAUGGAUUCCCCAUAGAGUAUAAAUUGAAUGGAGAGAAGUGGCUGGUUUCCCAGCAAUAAUUUAUCUGAUUAAAAAAAUACUCCCCAAACUCCCCCUCCUCUGCUGGUCCUACCCCCCCCUCCAAAAAGAACAUUGGCACUCUGGGCUAGUGUUUGAACUGUGCUAUUCAAAUUGCUGGAAGGGGGAUUUAGAUGGGAAAAUAACUGUCAAAAGAUGGCUCUCUGGGGAAAAAAGCAUGAGCUCUGAAAUUUGGAACAUGGGUUGGUGCAUGGAGGAGGCAGAGAGAGUAAAUAAUUCUGAGUCAAGUCCCUCUGUGAUUUCUGGCUUUGCCCUCAUCUAACCAAUCUCUUACAGAGAUAGGCACAGAUGCACACGUACACGCUCACACACGUGUGCCCCCGCACACACGUUCCGUAGGAGCAGCCAUUAGCAGUAACUCCAAAGCACAGCAAGCUGCUCCUGCUGCUCCCUUCCCUCCCUCUUUAUUUUCACCUCACUUCAGGGCUGAUUCCAAAGGAAAGAAAAAUAUGCUUCAUAAAGUGCUUGUUCCCUUGUUUGUUACCUGUGCAGCUUUUACUCCUUUCAAAUCAGCACCAUCCAAGGCUGGUAAUUCUCUCCUCCUGCCGAAGCCAACGUUCAUUUACUCACACAGACUGUUGUAUUUGGGGACCAGAAGAGUCACCCCGACACCCCUCUUCGUUGCGGCGCAGCGGUGCAGGUGACCUGAACUAUGUAUUUCUGGCCCAUCUGUAUUUCCCUGUCUUGCCUUUUUCUUUGUGGGAGAGAGGCAGGUAUUUUACAUUUCCCACCGCUCCCCUGGCGCGCCGUGAUUUAUAACAGGAGCUGCCUUAUUAAUGUCAAGGGCAGAAUUGCUACCGAGGCUGGAGCGUACGACAAUCAUGGAGCGCGCGGCGGCGCGGGCCCGGCUCCGAGGGCUGUUGGCUGCUGUACGUCCCUCAUCCCUCACAGCCUCCACCAGCUCUGCCUGCCCCUCUCUGGGCCAGUGGGUGAAACCCGAAGAGGCCCGUUCCGAGCCGCAGCGUUUCAGCCUCCCAGCAACCCGAAAGCCAGUCGCCGGGGCUCAGGUUUCCUUGCUUUUUUUGACAGGAGUCCUGUUCAGAUGAAACCUCUCUCCGCUCCUCCUGGAGGAUUUACACUGCCACAAGUCUUCAUUUUUUCCAGAUGUUUUACCUAAUAAAUCAAGGAGUCUCAUCAGAGGAUUCGAAUCCAAAAGCUGUUACCAUGACUUCAAAGGCGCAGGCUGGAAUGGAAAGAAGCAGUGCAGACAUUUUAUACCACUCUGUAGUCACCGAUCAUGAAAAUACACUCUGGUUCCAGCAUUUUAUUAUUUUUUUUUCCUGUGGAUACCAAAACUCCACCGUGAUGAAAUAAAACGAUGCCGUGCUCCUUCAGCCAACCUUUGUUUAGAAGAAGGGAGCCGCCGCGCUGGCAGGCUGUGGGGCUGGCAGUGACCGAGGAUGGGGCUGGUCCUGGGAGGAGGGGAGCUCUGCCAGCCCCCGGCCAACAUCGGGCACCAUUAACUUGGGUUUGGACUCGGGUUUGGACUCUCUCCGUCCUUACACAUCGACAGGCGGCCGCAAAUUCCCUCUCAGCGAUAGAUCCCACUUAAAGGAGUCAGGCGUUCAUGUUCUUUGGAUGGUCGGGGGAGAAAAAGAUCAAAAGAGUCAAAUGGCUGCAAAAUGGGGUUGCGUUUAUUUGUACUGGUUUGUUCCUUGAUCGAAAAUGCAACUUUUUUUUUAAAUAUAGUGAACCCUUUCUUUCUACAGUGUCUAAAUGGUGUCAUUUUCCUUCACUGCUACAUUUCUAAAGAUAAAUGCUCCAGCCUUUUGCAAAACUGUCAUGUAUAUGUUUCUAAUUACUCAACAGCACAGUCU
This is a long non-coding RNA of Calidris pugnax (ruff), 5759 nucleotides long. RefSeq lists it as uncharacterized. The transcript has 3 exons. The record is from RefSeq and is a predicted model, not a curated record. Lineage: Eukaryota; Metazoa; Chordata; Aves; Charadriiformes; Scolopacidae.